CGGCUGGGAUCGGUAUUGGCUUAUUUUAUUUCAGUGUUUCCGAACCAAUCUCACACUAUGAACCAGGAAAACCAAAUCGCUAUUGGGGAAGGUAUGUAAGGAGUUUUAUUGCUUCUUUAUAAUCGUUUGUCAGUCGAGUUUGUCAGUCGAAUAGUUUGUCAGACGAACCGUUUUCAAACACUCCCAUACCUCGUGGUAUUGGGGUAAUAAAUAUUAAUUUGUGCCACAAAGGCAUAAACGCACAAACGCUAGUAGCAUCGUAUAAACUAUAAAAGCCAUUAUUUUUACAAUGGAGCGUUACGUUCCAUCGUUUUUAUAUAGUUCAUAUUAUGACAUGUCUUCUUAACAGCCUAUUGCAUUUUCAAAGUAGGGAUUUCUUCAAAUUUUCAAUGUCAUAGUGCAUUACAAAAAAUGAUUACAUUAUUAGUUCAAAUAAACAAUUCGCUAUUGGGCGCCAUUCAUUCACCAAAAAACGAUAUUCUCGAUCUCGUGUUUGUGCGAGUACAAAGUACUUCCGCGAACAUUUUCACAAUAAUAAAUUUCACAAUAAUAUGUUUUAUAUAUUUGUUUCAUUUUGUAAUAUCCGGUAUAUUUUGUAUAUUUGUUGUGUUUAGUUGUAGUAAAAUGGUAAUAAGCUUUUUAAAAAUAAGCCGUUGACUAGCGUAUUCCGGCAUUUCUAAUUUUUAAUGUAAAAUCCAAGGCUAAUUUCUUUCCUGAAUUGUGUGGCUGCAUUUUUGUUUCUAAGUACAAUGAAUAUCCGGGUCUCGUAUUUCAUUGUACAGACAAUACAGCAAAACUUAUGUGAUUGAAAAUAAUUUGAAAUUUCUAUUAGUAGUGUGGUACACAUUUUCAGAAACCCAAAGAAGUUCGUUUUACCAGAAACCCUUUGCAAAUGUUUUGUUACUAACAAUAUCAAUUUAACUUUCAUUUUUGCAUUGCAUUGCUUUUCAAAUUUUAAAUUCCUCCACUAAUCGGACAGCUGAAAUAUUCAUUUUAGCUAAUCACGUAGCUUCAUUUUUUAUAAAGUGAUGCUUAUUUUAAGCCUGACUGAUUUCAUACCCUAAUUAUACCACAUAUUUUGGUGUAUAUACAAAAAUAUUUUUUAACAUAGACGAUUUCUGUCUUAUUACUAAGAUCUGAUUCUGUGGGCACAAUACAUUGUCUUUCAAUUGGCAAGUAUUGCAAGACUUAUCUAGAAACUUUCACAACAUACACUAGAUUGAUCCAAGAACAUAGAAAUCUAUAUGUUUGUCUUGUAACAAGUCUUGUACUUUGUCCUGCAAAACCUGUAACAUGUACCUGCCAUCUGUAUAUCAAUGUUCUAUUUAUGUUCUUUGUGUGUUAAAUCUAGCAUGUUUAUUGGCAAAGUUAAAUAAAUAAAUUGAUUUUCAUCUUUUCUUUGCCUUAAAGUGCAUUUUAGCUGUUUUGCUAAUACAUCUUGUGUAUUGAUAUACAUCUUGUAUAUCUUAGUUCCUGUGGAUAGUAAAUAUCAAUUUUAUAAUUUGUAAAGUCACUAAAGUGUCAUUGGUGUUUUUUUUUUGCUUACCUUAUGUGCCAAAAAUGUCUGUCUAGUGAUGUUAAAAGAUAUUGCUGUAUUACAAAGAUAUUGUAUUGCUAUUAAAUCAUGUUCCCCCCCAGCCUUAUUACUUGACUAAGAUUGCCCCAAUAUUGAUCUGUAUAGCAAGAGUUUAUUGCACUAGCAAACUGGCAGAAAAACUCUGGCAAGUCCAUUUAAAUUUUUUACAAAUUAUACAUAUUGCCAAUGCCAACACAAAGCUUCACCUUAUACCCUAGCAUUGCAACUUGUGAAAUGCCAGUGUCACAUUGGCCUAUUGAGUAAAUGAAACCCCUAACAAAUUUAUUACUUUGUAGAAUGUGAUUAGCAUGGUCAUGUUAUAGAAAUAUAAUUAAUCCCGUUAAAAUUUGGGAAAUAUAUAAAUGUUUGUGGAACAGGGCCAUGUUGGUAACAAAAUCUCUCAGAAUUUUAGAAGUCUUUCUUCAUCACCUUACAAUAAUAGCAUGUUUAUAUUCCACUGGUACUCUUCUAAAUAUCCAUGUUUGUAUGAGUAAGUUAGAAAAUAGUGCUUCAAGAAUUAUUUUCUAGGUACGCCAGGUUUUUACCUCCCAGAUUAAUCAUUAGGCACUUACUUGCAUUACCCAACGUCUUAAUUUAUUCUAUUUUGGACUUCGAGUCCUAUUGUAGCAUACCUGGCCACGUAAUAGCCAGGCAUGAUUGGGUACUUUUUAUAUUUACAUAAGCAUAAACUAUAAACUGAAUACGGAAUUAGACAAAAUUGCUCUCGUAUGUGUAUUGCACAUAAAUGUUUUGGAAUUUAACUACUGCCACAGUAGCCAUUUUCAUCAUGAAGAUGUGACCAGUCUAGUUUGAAAAUCCAGAAGAAGACAGAGUAUUAAUUAACUUCAUUGUGUCACAUGUCUAUAUCAAAAUAUUUGUUAAUACCCUGCUACUAGGCUAUAGUACUAAUUACCUAACCCCCUGCAACCAAAUAUUAUACCUAUAUAUUAUGAUUGCAUUUACUAUGUACAAAAUUGAUUUGAGAUGCAGUACUUACAUUAAGAUUAAUGCUGUUUUACCUGGUUUGGUCCAAGUGCUGCUUUGGUAACCCUAGGUUAACCCUAGGUUAACAGGGUAUUUUAGGCACUUCCCGUAAAUAUAUUAGAUGUUUACUCACUUACCUGAGUAGAGUAUAACCCUUCUGCUUAAAACUUUAACUGUUGAGGGUCCUAAAGGUGUAACUGCCCAGCGAGUCAUUCAAAUCAGUCUAUCCUUUAGUAAUGAAUUUUUUCACUUUUACAACCCCACUGAAAUGAUAGAGAUAUUUUUUGUUAUCCACAGUAUCGAUCAAUUACUAGUACAUAUGCAGUUUUCUAAAUAAUUUGGGUAUACUCACGAUGAUUUCUUUUAUUUUAUCAGGUGGGGCUGCUUGACAAUGUAGAAACCUAAAAUUCUAUCAAAUUUCUUGCUUAGAAUGCACACCGAUAUUGGGCGUCCUCGUUUUUACAUUUUUUCGAUUCAAACAAUACCAAACCCAUAUCGCAUGGAAUUUCUUAUUGCCUGUGCAUUCUUGGCACGGAAUUUGGUAGGGUUUUUAUAGUCGGGAAUUCCAUUCAAUAGACCAGUUAAAGACAAGGCACUCGGACAAUCAAAGAGCUCAAGAUGCUAUCAAUCUUACCUUGUUUCAUUGGGGCCUCCAUGGAUGGGUUGUCUAUUCCAUCACA
Molecule: RNA transcript, 3240 nt
Organism: Dendronephthya gigantea
Lineage: Eukaryota; Metazoa; Cnidaria; Anthozoa; Malacalcyonacea; Nephtheidae
Gene name: probable glycine betaine transporter
Exons: 2
Source: RefSeq, a predicted model, not a curated record